GACGAACGCUGGCGGCGUGCUUAACACAUGCAAGUCGAACGGAAAGGCCCUGCUUUUGUGGGGUGCUCGAGUGGCGAACGGGUGAGUAACACGUGAGUAACCUGCCCUUGACUUUGGGAUAACUUCAGGAAACUGGGGCUAAUACCGGAUAGGAGCUCCUGCUGCAUGGUGGGGGUUGGAAAGUUUCGGCGGUUGGGGAUGGACUCGCGGCUUAUCAGCUUGUUGGUGGGGUAGUGGCUUACCAAGGCUUUGACGGGUAGCCGGCCUGAGAGGGUGACCGGCCACAUUGGGACUGAGAUACGGCCCAGACUCCUACGGGAGGCAGCAGUGGGGAAUAUUGCACAAUGGGCGGAAGCCUGAUGCAGCAACGCCGCGUGCGGGAUGACGGCCUUCGGGUUGUAAACCGCUUUCGACUGUGACGAAGCGUGAGUGACGGUAAUGGGUAAAAAAGCACCGGCUAACUACGUG
RNAcentral lists this ribosomal RNA (468 nucleotides) under uncultured bacterium. RNAcentral's name for it is "partial 16S ribosomal RNA". It matches the Rfam family "Bacterial small subunit ribosomal RNA", at positions 28 to 507 of the family's 1533-position model. The record is from RNAcentral.